GAUGAAGAACGCAGCGAAAUGCGAUACUUGGUGUGAAUUGCAGAAUCCCGUGAACCAUCGAGUCUUUGAACGCAAGUUGCGCCUCAAGCCAUUAGGUUGAGGGCACGUCUGCCUGGGCGUCACAUAUCGUUGCCUGAUGCCAGUUUCCUCGUGAUGGGUGACUGUGCAGGGCGAAUGAUGGCUUCCCGUGAGCAUUGUUGCCUCAUGGUUGGUUGAAAAUUGAGUCCGUGGUAGGGAGCGCCGUGAUAGAUGGUGGUUGAGUGACGAACGAGAACCAAUCAUGUGAGACCCCUACCGAAUUUGGCCUUCAUGACCCACAUGCGUCUUUGGAACGCUCAUGACGAGACCUCAGGUCAGGCGGGGCUACCCGCUGAGUUUAAGCAUAUCAAUAAGCGGAGGA
RNAcentral lists this unclassified non-coding RNA (400 nucleotides) under soil metagenome. Its description in RNAcentral is "partial contains 5.8S ribosomal RNA, internal transcribed spacer 2, and large subunit ribosomal RNA". The stretch from base 1 to 122 matches the Rfam family "5.8S ribosomal RNA", at positions 35 to 154 of the family's 154-position model. The record is from RNAcentral.